AUGAACGCUGGCGGCGUGCCUAAUCCCUGCAAGUCGAGCGAACAGACGAGGAGCUUGCUCCUCUGACGUUAGCGGCGGACGGGUGAGUAACACGUGGAUACCCUACCUAUAAGACUGGGAUAACUUCGGGAAACCGGAGCUAAUACCGGAUAAUAUAUUGAACCGCAUGGUUCCAUAGUGAAAGCCGGUUUUGCUGUCACUUAUAGAUGGAUCCGCGCCGCAUUAGCUAGUUGGUAAGGUAACGGCUUACCAAGGCAACGAUGCGCAGCCGACCUGAGAGGGUGAUCGGCCACACUGGAACUGAGACACGGUCCAGACUCCUACGGGAGGCAGCAGUAGGGAAUCUUCCGCAAUGGGCGAAAGCCUGACGGAGCAACGCCGCGUGAGUGAUGAAGGUCUUCGGAUCGUAAAACUCUGUUAUUAGGGAAGAACAAAUGUGUAAGUAACUAUGCACGUCUUGACGGUACCUAAUCAGAAAGCCACGGCUAACUACGUG
RNAcentral lists this ribosomal RNA (496 nucleotides) under uncultured bacterium. RNAcentral's name for it is "partial 16S ribosomal RNA". It matches the Rfam family "Bacterial small subunit ribosomal RNA", at positions 29 to 507 of the family's 1533-position model. The record is from RNAcentral.